RNAcentral lists this ribosomal RNA (815 nucleotides) under uncultured Actinomycetes bacterium. RNAcentral describes it as "bacterial SSU rRNA". It matches the Rfam family "Bacterial small subunit ribosomal RNA", at positions 74 to 896 of the family's 1533-position model. The record is from RNAcentral. Lineage: Bacteria; Bacillati; Actinomycetota; Actinomycetes.
CCUUGCUUGCAAGGGGUACUCGAGUGGCGAACGGGUGAGUAACACGUGGGUGAUCUGCCUUGCACUUCGGGAUAAGCCUGGGAAACUGGGUCUAAUACCGGAUAGGACCAUGCUUUAGUGUGUGAGGUGGAAAGUUUUUUCGGUGCAAGAUGAGCCCGCGGCCUAUCAGCUUGUUGGUGGGGUAAUGGCCUACCAAGGCGACGACGGGUAGCCGGCCUGAGAGGGUGUACGGCCACAUUGGGACUGAGACACGGCCCAGACUCCUACGGGAGGCAGCAGUGGGGAAUAUUGCACAAUGGGCGCAAGCCUGAUGCAGCGACGCCGCGUGGGGGAUGACGGCCUUCGGGUUGUAAACUCCUUUCGCUAGGGAAGAAGCCACUUGUGGUGACGGUACCUGGACAAGAAGCACCGGCUAACUACGUGCCAGCAGCCGCGGUAAUACGUAGGGUGCGAGCGUUGUCCGGAAUUACUGGGCGUAAAGAGCUCGUAGGUGGUUUGUCGCGUCGACUGUGAAAUCCCGGGGCUUAACUUCGGGCGUGCAGGCGAUACGGGCAUAACUAGAGUGCUGUAGGGGAGACUGGAAUUCCUGGUGUAGCGGUGAAAUGCGCAGAUAUCAGGAGGAACACCGAUGGCGAAGGCAGGUCUCUGGGCAGUUACUGACGCUGAGGAGCGAAAGCAUGGGUAGCGAACAGGAUUAGAUACCCUGGUAGUCCAUGCCGUAAACGGUGGGCGCUAGGUGUGGGGGUUUUAUUUACGAUUCCCGUGCCGUAGCUAACGCAUUAAGCGCCCCGCCUGGGGAGUACGCCGCAAGGCUA